Neogale vison (American mink) is the source of this 1547-nucleotide long non-coding RNA. RefSeq lists it as uncharacterized. NCBI's taxonomy places the organism in Eukaryota, Metazoa, Chordata, Mammalia, Carnivora, Mustelidae. The record is from RefSeq and is a predicted model, not a curated record. The transcript has 3 exons.
UGCGUUUCCGCCUUCAGUUCCGAGCUCUGUGGCCCUGGUACUCCUUUGGAUCCUCUUGCUGGUGUCGUCUGUGCCUCUCCUUUAUUGUCCCCAGCUGGCUGAAUCAGAGGCUUAAUUCAUCUUGUUUCUGAUUGUUUGAUCCUGUGAGAGAUGACUACUGGCAGAAAAAUGAAGAAUCUAAGUAGAAAUGAGUACACAACCACAAGAUUGGAAAAGGAAAUACUCAAGGAAAUACCACAGAAGAUAACUGCAAGCUUACUAAAAAGUCAAAUGCAAACUUCUCUAGGAACUUUCCAGCUAAUUACAACCAUGAAGCAUCAGUAUCUCCAGAGAACCAGCAAAAAAAAACCUUACUAAAAUCUAAAUAUGCACUAGAAAGGAAGUGGUUAAUUGGUUUUUCUGAAACAUCAAUUCUGUGAGGGCAGUGGAAAUCAACAAGUUAAAAAUCCUGUGUAGAGAGACUGGUCUAGUUUUAGGAAUGUAGAGGGCACAAAACAUUUGAAACUUGCAAGUGGGCAUUAAGAGCAUAUAGUAGAAUAUUUCCACCACAAAGGUCUAAGAAAACUCCUGAAUAGAAAGUGCCUAUAUGUAAAGAAAAAAGGUAAAUAAAGAAUGGAAGGAAGGAGAUUCUUUUAUCUGCUUACAAGUGCCUGGCUCUUUUUCCUGCUCUGAUUAUAGUAUAAAAUGUAACUUUUUGGGUGUCUAAGAGGACGAGUAGAGAGGGGAGAGGAGUGGGAAAAGAAGAGAGGGCAGGAAGGGAGGGGGGAAAGGUAGAAGGUAAGAAGAGAAUGGGAGAGAAAGAGUUGGGCGAGGUUGGGCGAGGGAGGGCAAAGGGAAGGACAAGAAGGCAGGGAGAGUAGAGAAAUGUUUUCCCAAAAUUUCAUCCUGUUCAGUUACUACUUACCCAGGGAAACUCGGAUUUACAGGGAACCCAAUUUAUGGGCUGACUGCAUACCAAAAAUUCACUUACAACUCUCUCUUUUGAAAAGCAAACACUUUCCCCUCCAGUAACUAUGUUGCAAGGCGUGGCUAGGUUCCCAGGCUAGUUCUCAAAAAAUAGACACACUGCAGAAGCACAGUGCAUUUUCACCCCAGAAGCUCCUGCACUCAUGGACAAAGGAGCUUAUCUUCCCUUUGGUCCUAAAUGUCUCUCCUCCCCCAAAUUUGUAUUAUGAGUAUCUCUUCUCCAUUCUGUAUUUUCAGUGUCUCUCUCCCUGGCACUCACCCAAACAUGAAGAAGACUCUACCUGUCUCAACAAAUCUUCCUGAAUGAUGUGGCCUCCUUAAAGCUGGCAUGAUUUGCCUCUUUUCUUUACAUCUGUUUGAAAACACUGUAAUCACUUAAACCAGUUUCUUAAUAAAUAAUAGGGGAUAUGCAUACUAGUACCUCAAUUUGUACAUACAUACAGGAUUAUUUCUUCACAACAAAUGCUGUGAAAUAGAAUUGCUGGGUCAAACAGUACACAAAUUAAUGUUUUUGGUGAUACUGGCAUAUUAUCUUCAAGAAAAUGUAUCUUCGGGGCACCUGGGUGGCUCAGUGGGUUAAA